This 212-nucleotide ribosomal RNA is filed under the name Yamadazyma naeodendra. Its description in RNAcentral is "[Candida] naeodendra partial 26S ribosomal RNA". It matches the Rfam family "Eukaryotic large subunit ribosomal RNA", at positions 73 to 282 of the family's 3401-position model. The record is from RNAcentral. Lineage: Eukaryota; Fungi; Ascomycota; Pichiomycetes; Serinales; Debaryomycetaceae.
AAAUGCCUUAGUAGCGGCGAGUGAAGCGGCAAUAGCUCAAAUUUGAAAUCUGGCGUCUUCGGCGUCCGAGUUGUAAUUUGAAGAAGGUAUCUUUGAGGCUGGCUCUUGUCUAUGUUCCUUGGAACAGGACGUCACAGAGGGUGAGAAUCCCGUGCGAUGAGAUGCCCAGUUUCGUGUAAAGUUCCUUCGACGAGUCGAGUUGUUUGGGAAUA